GAGACUUUUGUAACUACGUACAGCGUUUAUAGAGGAAAAGGAGGUAACUAGGUCUAGUGAUUUUCCCCUUUUACGAAACGAAUCAUUAUUCUUUAAUCAACAAAAAAAUUAAUUUUAGCAAUAGAAUAAAUUCUGAGGAAACAAACAUAGGCAAACAUAAAAUUAUUCAAGGAAACUAUUUGUUGAAUUCUAUACGGAAUUUCAAUUAAAAAUGGGGUUACUGGGUAAAUAGGACAACUGCUAUAUAGGCACACUGGGGGAAGAGUAUUCAUAAUAUUGGUUUACGCAUGUUAUCAGUAACGUACGUGCUAUUUUUAAAUUCUAUAUACGCUUUAUUAAUAAUAGAAAAUGUAUGAAGUCAUCAAAUAAAAUACGUCUCUGGUCAAAGCGGUGCAUUGAUACAGAAGGCCAAUGAGAAGGCGAUAUUGUUUAUGCACUUCCUUUCAUUUCGAACAAAAUCAGCCCAAAGAAAGAAAAUUGUACAAGUCAUUAUACGUAGUCUGAACAAACAGAGAGGGUAAACAGCAAGGGGGCUCCACCUGUAAAUAGGGGCUAAUCUAAUUGAAAAUACUAUAUCGUAGUAAUUUUACAUAAGUAUUAAAUAUAGGUAACAUAGAGGUCAUGCAUAAUGUUACCAUACGUGCAGUUGCAAGAUUAUUCGAUCUUCAUUUGAAAUAGGUCGAACAGAAUUUACUAAACCAUACAAACGGCAAACUGCACUUGCAUUUUGAAUUAUACUAUUAUUUCACGCAUUAUCAGACACAAUUAUUCGUAGUUUAUGAUCGUAUGUUAUCAAAAGAUAACAUAAAUCAUAAAUCUUCGGAGAUAGACGAAGUGUUAGAAAAUUUCGGAUAUGUGAAUAAACAUUUUCGUAGAUCGCUGUCGAGAAAUAAAAAUGGAAAACAUGAGUGGUGUGUGCUGUCGUUACCUGAUAAUAACACGAAAUAUUUUCGUGCAGCAUCGGAGACAAGACUUCAUGAACACUUCAUUUGUCUCAUCAUCUUUAUCAUCUAAACAUAUACGUAACAACUCUAAUUCAGUGAUACCAGUUAAGCUUGCAUACGCAUCGUACGAGUCAAUGAUGGGAAGCAAAAAUGUAUCCAAACAACCUAUUAUAAUAAUGCAUGGUCUGUUCGGUUCAAAGCAUAAUUGGAACUCUUUAUCGAAAGCGAUCCAUCAGCAAACAGAUCGUAAGGUAAUAACUGUAGACGCAAGGAAUCAUGGUGAUUCUCCACAUUCUACAGAAAUGUCCUACAAGCAUAUGGCAAAGGACGUGGUUCAACUUAUGAACGACUUGGGAUUUGAGAAAUCUAUACUGAUAGGGCACAGCAUGGGAGGCUCUACAAUGAUGUAUGUAGCCUUGCAUUAUCCAGAACUAGUAGAAAAAUUAAUAGUAAUAGAUAUAUCUCCUGUGAGGACUAGUCCUCAACUUUUGGAACUUAAAAAGAUAUUCCAUAUUAUGCGUACUUUGAAACUAACCGGAAGCCCGUCGUUAACAAAAGCACGUAGACUGGCGGAGGAUCAACUUGCAACCGUUGUCAAACAUUUGAGUUUACGUCAGUUUUUAACAAUGAACAUAGUGGAAGCUGAUAAUGGACACUACAAAUGGCGAAUUAAUUUACCUGUACUCGAACAAAAUUUUGAAUCGAAAAUAGCUAAAUUUCCAGAGUCAGAGAACGUUUACAGAGGACCGACAUUAUUUAUAGGAGGUGCAAAUAGCGAUUAUAUAGUAGCAGAAGAUCAUGAUAAGAUUAAAAAAUAUUUCCCCUCCGGCCAGCUUAUAUACAUAAACGAUGCAAAUCAUUGGGUUCACGCGGAUAAACCGACCGAGUUCCUAAAGAUCACAGUUGAUUUCAUUAAUCAACCAUGAUCGUAAUUAUGGUACCAAUGGUCAAAUAAGUGAAAAAUAGCAAAUUAAAAUAUAACUGUACACAGUGUGAACAAACUUGUAAAUUCUGUGUCAGCUUGGAAAACAUUUUAUCAAAACUGGAAAAUAGUUCCACAUAAGGCCAUGCUUUAAUAUAGGAUAACUAUUCAAAAAGUAAAAUUCCAACAAGAUCGUUACAUUAUUAAAAUAUAAUACGCUUGAUCACAGAGGUGUUCAAUAAAUUAUGUAAAUUCAAUGAAUUACAU
Molecule: RNA transcript, 2133 nt
Organism: Colletes gigas
Lineage: Eukaryota; Metazoa; Arthropoda; Insecta; Hymenoptera; Colletidae
Gene name: protein ABHD11
Exons: 6
Source: RefSeq, a predicted model, not a curated record